RNAcentral lists this long non-coding RNA (8663 nucleotides) under Homo sapiens (human). RNAcentral describes it as "HSALNT0309900". Lineage: Eukaryota; Metazoa; Chordata; Mammalia; Primates; Hominidae. The record is from RNAcentral.
CCUGUGCAGGUGGUGGUGCCCUCUGCGCCUUCACUGGGGCCCAGCCAAGUAACUGAAUCCAGCCAGGAGCAAGGGCAGACGCUGGCACAGGUCCUGCCACUGUCCCCAACCUGGGUUUCAACACAGCUGAGGCCUGGCAUAGUCUUUCUGGGCGCCUCUGGCUGGCUCGGUCUGAAAGGUGGGACAGAUGCAACUGGGGCCUCCCCGGGUGCAGCGUGGGUGGCUCCUGGCUGGGGAAGUGAGAAGCCCUCCGUGCGGUGUCUCUGAAGCAGCCCCAGGCCAAGGCUGUGGCGUGCUUGGUGGUGCUGUAGGCCCAAGAUGUUUAUGGGUCGAGGGUCCCCGGGGCCGGGAUUCUGAUCCCUGGUGAGAGGUGGCUGGGAGGAAGUCCAGACGUGUCCUGAGUGGCCAUUCCUCACACUGAGGUGACACCGCCUCUCCAAACACGUGACGUGGCUGGAAGCAGAUGCUGCUGUCCGGUUCUCCCUCCUCUCCGUCCCUGGCUGGGACAUGUGGAUCUCACCCGCAGCCACUUUCUUCUGGCCUCUGUCCCCCUGCCUGGGACACGUGGACCUCACCCCCAGUCUCCUUCUCUCCUCUGCCCCCCGCAGGCGCGGCCAGGUCACAGUCGGCACCAGAAGUUUGGCAGAUCUCAGUGAGGCGUUAGUUUGCAUUUCCUUGUGACGGGCUGGAGUACAAUGGUGCCAUCUUGACUCACUGCAACCUCUGCCUCCCGGGUUCAAGCUAUUCUCCUGCCUCAGCUUCCUGAGUAGCUGGUACUACAGGCGUGUGCCACCAUGCCCAGGUUUUGACUGGAAUGCCAGGCUUAACGUUGCUCAGAAGUUGCUUCUAUGAGGACGUCUCCCAGCAGCUGUCAGUGUUUCCAAUGAGUCAUCGCCAGCCCCUGCAAUGAGCCUCUCAGGCUGGUAAGUUUUGUUUCAGAACCGCUUCCUCAAGCUUCUUUUGCCUUUAAAAGCUUCCUCUUGCCCCAGCCUCCCAGGGAAUGCCUGUGGUCUGUCAUGGCUCACACAUCCUGGUUGAUAAUCCACUGCUGUUCUCCACGGAAUGCCUUCAUUUUGAGAGCUGCUCGCUGCCUGUUGUGGUUUCAGUUGACGGCCCACCGCUGUGUGCAGAGUUCACCAGCCGCUGUGGUGUGCAGUGCAGCAGCUGACCUGCCUGCCUUGUGGUUUUCUAAUCCCAUUGAGGGGACGUCUUAGGUGUUCUCACCAAGAAUGCACAGCAACAGUGCUGGGUGGGCCACAUCCUCCCUCACGUUUGGUGCCACCAGUUUUAUAGAUUUUGGCUACUGUGGGUGUGUGUGGUGGUUUUUGUUGGUGUUUACGACGCAUCUUCCUGGUGCUCGAGUCUGUCGAGCACUUUUUCUUGUGUUUAUUUGCCAUCAUUUGGCGAAGUGUUCAAAUCCUUUGACCGUUGUUUCACCAAGUUGUUUUAUUAUGAAAUUUUAGGGGUUACUUAUUCUGGAUCUCAGCACUUGGAUAAAUAUUUGAGAAUAUUUUUUGCAGUAAGUGACAUCGUUUUAUGUGGAUGAACAGAAGAUUUUAAUUUUGAUAAAGUCUAAUGGAUAUAUGUGAUGUUAGUGUAAUUUGAAUGCAUACAUAUGUAUAUUUAAUGCAUUCUUUUAUGAUGAUUGUGCACUUCAUAUGAAAUGCGGCAACCUUGCCUUGCCAUCCCGGAGGCCUCUGCUUCUCUGAUCUGUGGGUGUCACAGGCACUUCACUUACUCACACCUUAUGGCACGGUUUCUUUUGCUCUAAGCCUGCACGUGUGUUUUAAAGGUAAUUUCUUCCGUUAGAGAAGUCGCGUAGGCUCACCCUGCUAUUUGCCAUUUCUGGAGCUCUUUAUCUCCUUCUUCAUAUCUGCAUUUCCCUCUGGAAUCAUUUCCAUUCAGCCUGAAGAACUCUUCUGCCUGGGACUCCACCUUCUUUUCUAGCAGCUGGGCUCAUUGGGAGCUCUGUCCUCUGGUGGCUCUGGCCAGGGGACGCUGGGUUUUCUCUUAGGGUUUCAGUUGGCCCGUGUGGUGCCAAUGUCAACGUGUCUGUAGGCCAGAGCCAGCAAUGAGCACCCCCUCGGUCUGGCCCUGAGCUCCAAGGCCCCACUCCCACGGGAUCUUGCUGCCAGGACCCCACUCUCUGCAUCUUGUCCAGAGUGUCGAGGAGGGCAGGGUCCAGCGGGAUCUCUCGGCCCUCCCAGGGCUGAGUCUGUGCUCUGACCUUUCCUGGGAGGCACUCAGGGCCAACAGAGCAACAAGGGGCCUUUCCCUGUGGCUCCCUCCCCUCUGGAGAAAAUGGGUCAGACCUGGGUUUCUCCAUAGUCACUGUCCCUAAAAUGAAGCCGGGCUGCCAGAGGCGGUUGCAUCUCCCGGCACCAAGACCCCAGAGUCCCUGUGAGAAAGAGGACCAACGACGAUGGAAGCCUUUCUCUAAUGUGCGCACAGCCAGGCCGCUCCUCUGAAGGCGCUGAGCCGCCUCUAAUCACAGCGCCACACUGGCCACAGGUCGCUGGGUAUAGGAUGAACCCAGCUGUGAAUAGGAUGCAUUUCCUGGGAGGUUUCUGUGAAGUUACUGAACUGCCAAAAGGUAAGCAGUUUUAAUUGAUUUGUGAGUCUUCAAUUAAGCACAGCAGAAUGCUAAUUAAAUAUUCUCUGUUCUUUAAAUAGAGAAUGCUUUAAAUAAUUCAGCACAAUCUUUGCAUAAAUCACACCAUUCAGCUGAGGUGCCUGUCAGCAGUCAAGUGAUUGAGAGCACAAACUGUCCCAAAGACACAGCCCCCUUCCCCCUGGAGACGCGCACAGCCUGCAGAAGAGAUGUCACCUGAUGCAGCGUUGUGGUUUAAAAACUCAUUAUGGGAAGCAUGAGGCUGGACCCAGGGGACCCUGGAGGUGAUGCAGGGGCUUUGGCAGCCUGGAAGCUGUUGGAGGAGGGGCCCUUGGUGGAAGUGGGGACAGUUUGAGCCUCCGGCCUCCAAUUCCCUCCCGCUGGCUUCUGGGCCGCACCUCCAGGAAUCCAGCUAGACCCGCAGGGCUCUGACUCCAGACUUUAUUAAAUGUUUCCUCUAACGGUUCUGGCCAUUCUGCUGGGCCAUUAAAGGCUACCCCAGGGCCUCAGAUAUGAGCGUGGUGUCUGUAUGUGGUCCUUUCAUGGAGGGCAGGAAGCAUCAUAAUUACUUUUUUUUUUAACGGUUUUCAAUUUGUGUUGACAAAGAGCCUUAGUGAAUCUGUUGGAAGAAGAGUGACUUCAAAAUGAACCUGACUCCCUGUAUGUUAGGAGUCCAUAUUCUCUGAUACAGUUAACGUUUUCCUUCCAACCUCUUCACUGUUCAAGCAAAGUGGUAUUUUAGCUAUUCACUGUUUGACACUUUAAUAGGAGUUUUGAUGAGCAAUUUCAGGAUGUGGAAUUGCUACACUGCACCAGGUUCCUGCAGGAGCAGCAGCCUCAGCCUGUGGAUGGGACGUGAGAUCUUGGUGUUUCUCCUGGAGGAAACGCUGUGCUGCUGUGUUGAUGACGGGGCGUGUGUGGGGUUGAUGAUGGGUGAUGGAGUGUGGGGUUGGUGACAGGUGACGGAGUGUGGGGUUGACGACGGGUGAUGGAGUGUGGGGAUGAUGAUGGGUGAUGGAGUGUGGGGAUGAUGACGGGUGAUGGAGUGUGGGGAUGAUGAUGGGUGAUGGAGUGUGGGGAUGAUGAUGGGUGAUGGAGUGUGGGGAUGAUGACGGGUGAUGGAGUGUGGGGAUGAUGAUGGGUGAUGGAGUGUGGGGAUGGUGAUGGAGUGUGGGGAUGGUGAUGGAGUGUGGGGAUGAUGAUGGGUGAUGGAGUGUGGGGAUGAUGAUGGAGUGUGGGGAUGAUGACGGGUGAUGGAGUGUGGGGAUGAUGAUGGGUGAUGGAGUGUGGGGAUGGUGAUGGAGUGUGGGGAUGGUGAUGGAGUGUGGGGAUGAUGAUGGGUGAUGGAGUGUGGGGAUGAUGAUGGAGUGUGGGGAUGAUGACGGGUGAUGGAGUGUGGGGUUGACGACGGGGCGUGGGGUUGAUGAUGGAGUGUGGGGAUGAUGAUGGGUAUGGAGUGUGGGGAUGAUGAUGGGUAUGGAGUGUGGGGUUGAUGACGGGUGAUAGAGGAGUGUGGGGAUGUGAUGGGUGAUGGAGUGUGGGGAUGAUGAUGGAAUGUGGGAUUGAUGACGGAUGAUGGAGUGUGGGGAUGAUGAUGGGUGAUGGAGUGUGGGGAUGAUGAUGGAGUGUGGGGUUGAUGAUGGGUGAUGGAGUGUGGGGUUGAUGAUGGGUGAUGGAGUGUGGGGAUGAUGUUGGGUGAUGAAGUGCGGGGAUGAUGAUGGAGUGUGGUGAUGAUGACAGGUGACGGAGUCUGGGGUUGAUGACGGGGCGUGGGGUUGAUGAUGGAGUGUGGGGAUGAUGAUGGGUAUGGAGUGUGGGGAUGAUGAUGGAUAUGGAGUGUGGGGUUGAUGACGGGUGAUACAGUGUGGGGAUGUGAUGGGUGAUGGAGUGUGGGGAUGAUGAUGGGUAUGGAGUGUGGGAUUGAUGACGGGUGAUGGAGUGUGGGGAUGAUGAUGGGUAAUGAAGUGUGGGGAUGAUGAUGGAGUGUGGUGAUGAUGACAGGUGACGGAGUGUGGGGUUGAUGACGGGGCGUGGGGUUGAUGAUGGAGUGUGGGGAUGAUGACGGGUGACCGAGUGUGGGGUUGAUGACGGGGCGUGGGGUUGAUGAUGGGGUGUGGGGAUGAUGACGGGGCAUGGGGUUGAUGACGGGGCGUGGGGCUGUUGAUGGGGUUUGGGGUUGAUGACGGGGUGUGUGGUUGAUGACGGGGUAUGGGGUUGAUGAUGGGGCGUAGGGUUGAUGAUGGGGUGUGGGGUUGAUGAUGGGGCAUGGGGUUGAUGACGGGGCCUGGGGUUGAUGACGGGGUGUGGGGUUGAUGACGUGGUGUGGGGUUGAUGACGGAGUAUGGGGUUGAUGAUGGGGUGUGGAGUUGAUGACGGGGUGUGGGGUUGAUGACGGGGCAUGUGUGGGGUCGAUGAUGGGGUGUGGGGUUGAUGAUGGGGUGUGGGGUUGAUGAAGGGGCGUGGGGUUUAUGACGGAGCUUGGGGCUGAUGAUGGGGUGUGGGGCUGAUGAUGGGGUGUGGGGCUGAUGAUGGGGCAUGGGGUUUAUGAUGGGGUGUGGGAUUAAUGACGGAGUGUGGCGUUGAUGAUGAGGCGUGGGGUUUAUGACAGAGCGUGGGGUCAAUGACAGGGUGUGGGGUUGAUGACGGGGUGUGGGGUUGAUGACGGGGCAUGGGGUUUAUGACAGCUUGUGUCAGACGAAGCCACAUCAACUCAUUCUGAGCACCCCUUUCCUCAAAACAUAAGGAUGAGCAUGACCAAAAUCUCAAGACAUUUUUCCUAAGUCCUUAAGACGGAUGAACUUCUACAGGUAAGUAGGUAGAUUAAUAAACAGAGGUAAGGAAUGUUGGCAUGAAGAAGCUCCCUAGGCUGCUGUGUGGCUGAAGCUCUGACUGGUCAUGCUGGUUAAGGAUGCGUCUGAGCAAGAUCGGUCGCUGACAGGUAGGUGUGUAGAAAAUAACCUAUAUGUGGUGGUCCAUUUUCAGUUCUAAGUGCCUUCAUAUAGGUUUAAGCAGGCUAUGUGGAAAUAGAGAAAUAAAGAAGCAGAAAUGUACUGAGUCACCACCCUGCCCUCCUUCCUGCUUUCCCUUUCACCCAGCGGCCACGUGCCUAUCAGUAGGAGCCCCCUCAACUACCCUCUCCUCACCCCACCAAAGAAUUUAGUUUAGGCUAGCUUGCAACAUAAAUAAUUAUACCCUUUCUUAUCAGCUACGUGCAGCCACCAGGGCCAUAGUCAAAUGUUUGAAGAGUCCUGAGACAGUUGCAAUGCAUGGUGGGCUGCAAUAAAAUGCAGCAGAAAGAUCCUAAAGAACAGACUUGAAAUCUUAAUCCAACGACCAAUAGGUGAUGUCCAGGAAGAUCGUAACCCCAUUUACUCAGUCAAUGAGGAACUGGGGGAGGGACCUGCGCACUAGGGGAUAAAUUGCUUGUUGAAACUCUGCUGGGGGUGGCUGCAUGCCAGCCAGACACCCAGUCUUGCAAGACUGUCAUUGAAAAUCUCCGUUUUGCUGUUCUCCGGGUCUCUGCGUCCAGUCUUUGUGUUUGGACGGGUGAGUUUGUUUCUCACAGGUGCGACUCUGUCUCUAUUUGCAUCAGGUUCAGUUUCUUCCUGGUUGACCUUGUGGGUGUGAAUGUUGUCACAGACCUGCCGGGCCAUCUUUCUGCAAGAAGAUAAAGGAAGACCAGGAGUGCCUGCCGAACUCCUAUGGAGGAAGUCUAGGAGAGGAAGGGGACAGGGAGGAAGAUGGUGUCUGCAAACCAGGAAGCAGCCUUGCCAGACACAGGAUUGGCCACAACCUUGACCCCAGACUUCCAGCCUCCAGAACUGUGAGAAAUAAAUGUCCAUAUUGACUAGGGGCACAGGGCAUGGGGGAACUGGUUCCAGACCUGCCUCCUGGGAAGUUGGGAGGGGGCAUUUCAACCUGUUAAUUUCUCAAAUUAUGUAGUCAUUCAAAAAGAAAUAGAAACACUUCAUUAACUUUGUGAUUGCCAAAUUAUUGAUCAAUUCUCAUAGAAAGUUAUAACAUUUCCCCUUUUGGUACAUUUCUGUUAAAAAGAAGGUUGUCUUUCCAGCCUUAUGUUUUGUAGUUUAAUUUGCUCACAUUCAUUAUAAUCCAUUAUUUAAUACAUUUUUCUUCCAUUUGAUCAUAUUACUUGCUGAUAGGAAGGACUGAGUUCAUUUUCAGCGUGUCUGGCUUUUCCAUUUCUGUGGCCUGGGAAGGUGGGUGGCUACAUCAUCAUCCAUGGUCUCUGAAAUAUCCUGUGUUACCAAGGCCUGCUUGUUCCACCAAACUGCUCCAUAGGCAGUUGUGACACCCAGAAAGAUGCUGAUAUGGUUUGGCUGUGUCCCCACCCAAAUCUCAUCUUGAAUUGUAGUUCCCAUAAUCCCCAGGUGUCUGGGAGGGGCCCAGUGGGAGGUAAUUGAGACAUGGGGGCGGGUUUUCCCAUGCUGUUCUUGUGAUAGUGAAUAAGUCCCAAGAGAUUCUGAUGGUUUUAUAAACAGGAAUUUCCCUGCACAGGCUCUCUUGCCUGCCACCAUGUAAGACCUGCCUCUGCUCCUCCUUCACCUUCCGCCAUGAUUGUGAGGCCACCCCAGCCAUGUGGAACUCUCCUACUGCACUGAGAAGCACGUGUUCUCCAUUUCCCUGGGGGAGACCAUUGUAUUGGGCAGUUUGGAACAAAACACCAUGGACUGGGAGGCUUACACAACAGAAAUUUAUUUCUUGCUGUUCUAGAGGCUGGGAAGCUCAAGGUGCUGGCUGCAUAUUCAUUCUGAGGCCUCUUCUGAUGUGCAGGCAGCUGCCUUCUGACUUGUGCUCACAUUGGAGAGAGGGAGUCAGCUUUGGUGUCUCUUCUUGUAAGGACACUAACCCCAUUCACUAGGGCCCCACCCUCAUGACCUAAUCACCCCCAAAGGUCCUGUCUCCAGACAUAUCACAUGGGGCAGAGCUUCAAUGUACCAAUUCUGGGGGGUCACAAACCCUCCGUCCAUAGCAGACAUCUUGGUUGCUCCCAGUUUUUAGAGAUUAAGAAUAAAACAACUGUAAAUAUUUACAUGCAGGUUUUUGUGUGAACAAGUUUUCAUGCCAGCUGGGUAAAUAGCUAGGGCUGUGAUGGCCAGAUCCUGUGGUAAGAUUCUGUUCCACAUUCUAAGAAACUGCCCAACUGUCUUCCACAGUGGCUGUGCCAUUUUGCAGUUCUGACAGCAAUUCUGUAGCUCCACAACCUCAUCAGCACUGGGUGGUGGUGCUUGAAUUUUGCAUUUUAGCCAUUCUAAUUGGUGUGGGUAGUAGUUCUCAUUUGGGGUUCAAUUUGCUUUUUCCUUUUUUUUUUUUUUUUUUUGGCAGGCUGGACAUCUCCUAGAGGGCAAUAGAUUCUGGUUUUGUUUUUUUUUUUAGACAGAGUCUCAUGCUGUCACCCAGGCUGGAGUACAAUGGCAUGAUCUCUGCUCACUGCAACUUCUGCCUCCCAGGCUCAAGCAAUUCUCCUGCCUCAGCCUCCCAAAUAGCUGGGGUUACAGAUGCUCGCCACCAUGCCUGGCUAAUUUUUGUAUUUUUAGUAGGGAUGGAGUUUCACCAUGCCAGCCAGGCUGGUUUUGAGCUCCUGAACUCAAAUGAUCCACCCGCCUUAGCCUCCCAAAGUGCUGGGAUUACAGGCGUGAGCCACCGCACCUGGCUGAGGGCAAUCGAUUCUGAAUAAAUAGGUUGUGAAUUGGAGAUUUGCAUUAACCCUGCCCAGGGCCGGGCUGUGUUUGCUGUAGCUGUGUGUGUGUAUAACUUCAGAUCCCUCUGUGACCUCCUUUUGUCUCCCUUUGUGGUUUUGGGCUUUCCUUUGCUGUUCCUCGGACAGCCUGUGUCUCUCAGGUCUCUUAGCUGUAAUCCAGUUAUCCCAGAGCUUGUCAGUUAGAGGGGAGGGAAGGGUUGGGGAGGGGCAGUUCCCUGGUCUCUGUCUUUGGACUUCAUGGGGCCUGUGCCCCCAUCCUGCCAUGGCCUUCACAAGGGUUUCUGUCCUCGCUCCAGAGUGAGGUGCCACCCAUCCCCCAUCCCCCACCCAUCC